Long non-coding RNA from Oncorhynchus gorbuscha (pink salmon), 836 nucleotides. RefSeq lists it as uncharacterized. The record is from RefSeq and is a predicted model, not a curated record. The transcript is spliced from 6 exons. Lineage: Eukaryota; Metazoa; Chordata; Actinopteri; Salmoniformes; Salmonidae.
GUGCAAUUCGCAUGCUGACUGCAGGAAUGUCUGAGCGCGACCUGUUGAGAGUUCCCAGUUGUCUUGAAAGCACCAUAAAUCCAAAGACUACCAGACUUUGAUGACAAAGUUUGAUGAACAAAUUUGACCACAAGAAGGACUUGUUCAACUGAGCACAGCACAACAAGUAAUUAACACUGAUGACGGCGGCACGAGGAAGCUGGAUGGUCGGACGGAAUGGAGACGCCAGAUACAACGACAGGGCGAGAAGGGUGACUGUUACCGGAGUGGAGUGAUAUGGAAGGUUGUAAUCUCAGAGGAUGUGGGCCAGAGCAGCGUGGAUGGGCAAUGAGAAGGAAGUGUUAUUCCAGAGCAUCGGAUCAAACAACCGAACUGUGUGGUGUCCCCCAAAUCAAUAUGAGCAGUAAAGCGAUUGGUCCACAGCCUCUCUGAAUGGGAAGUCAUUUCAGCUUCUGAGGAUAAAACUGAAAUCAGAAUCAAAACAGGCAAUGUGAAGAUGUUGGAAAUCACAGACGCCAGCGAGGUGGGAGAUCUCCAAGACAAACCAACAACAAAAACAGAGAAUCUGCCGCAAUGAGAGAAGAUCGCAAUUGGGGAGAGAAAGAAGAAAAUAGAGAGUUCAGUGUCCAGAGUAACUGGACGUUCUUCACAGUUUUUUAUUUGACUGUUCAACCAUGGAGAUUCAUUGUCAGAUCUGAAAGCAGAUUGUUUCUUGGGACCAGCAUCUCUUUUUGGUCUGAGUUUAACCCCGUAAGGUUGAUGUCCUCGCCCCAGCAGAAAUCAGAUUAGCAUAAUAAUGAAAUCAACAAUAAAAAUCUGUCAAUUUAAGAUAGAGA